This 202-nucleotide long non-coding RNA is filed under the name Meleagris gallopavo (turkey). RNAcentral's name for it is "lncRNA (ENSMGAG00000020580.1)". Lineage: Eukaryota; Metazoa; Chordata; Aves; Galliformes; Phasianidae. The record is from RNAcentral.
UGGAAAUAAACUACAGUGCACAGGCUGAUAGCUCCUGUAUACAUAAUACCCUCAGAUGUCAGAAGCCAAGACAGACAAGGGAAAAGUCAAACCAGCAGAAAGUUUUGAAAAUGACAAGCAAAAUAUUUCUUGGCUGAAGAAAGAACUGGACAAACCCAUCCUCCAGCCCCAUGGAGACUCAGCUGCACCAGCUCCCUGCCUC